Molecule: long non-coding RNA, 633 nt
Organism: Hipposideros armiger (great roundleaf bat)
Lineage: Eukaryota; Metazoa; Chordata; Mammalia; Chiroptera; Hipposideridae
Exons: 3
Source: RefSeq, a predicted model, not a curated record
UCUAGAAUAUUACCCCGCCCCCAACCUGUUUUCCUCACACCCCGUUAUUUCCUCACCGCCUGCACGACCUUACACUCCCCUCCCCCUUAGCCCAUUAGCAGACGCCGGUCCCCAGGGGCUGCUGCCUCCGGUGGAGAAUAUCUUUCCCAUCAAUUCCAGAGCCGUUGUCUGUUGUCCGAUGCGUUCCCACCUGUUACUCCAAUAAAAAGUGGAAACCACAGUGUGCAGUAGACCCACUCUGUAAGGUGCUUUGUGAGUUUUUCUGGAUGUGUCGUAAUAUCACCAUGAGGCAGAGAUGGCACGGUCUCCCAUUUGUAGGUGCUGAAUAAGGAAAUGAACGAUGCUAGAAUCUGGAGACUGGCUGAAAAGGAAACCUGUUUGCCUGAUACCUGGAAACGGACAAAAGAAGCUAAAAAGCAAGACACAGAUAUGGUCUUGGUGGUCUUUUCAGACCCUUCAGAUUUUUUACAUGAGACCUUUGUGCUAGGUCCAAUUCCUGAAGCUGCUGUUUCUUCCUACUCUCUCUUGCUGUACCAGUAAAUUCCCAUGAGACUGACUCUUGCCUGGGAUGUUUGUAUAUAUGAUUUGUUGCACAAAUGUUUACUGAUCACCUGCUGUGUGUGUGACACUAUC